AUUGAACGCUGGCGGCAUGCCUUACACAUGCAAGUCGAACGGCAGCACGGGUGCUUGCACCUGGUGGCGAGUGGCGAACGGGUGAGUAAUACAUCGGAACAUGUCCUGUAGUGGGGGAUAGCCCGGCGAAAGCCGGAUUAAUACCGCAUACGAUCCACGGAUGAAAGCGGGGGACCUUCGGGCCUCGCGCUAUAGGGUUGGCCGAUGGCUGAUUAGCUAGUUGGUGGGGUAAAGGCCUACCAAGGCGACGAUCAGUAGCUGGUCUGAGAGGACGACCAGCCACACUGGAACUGGGACACGGCCCAGACUCCUACGGGAGGCAGCAGUGGGGAAUUUUGGACAAUGGGCGAAAGCCUGAUCCAGCAAUGCCGCGUGUGUGAAGAAGGCCUUCGGGUUGUAAAGCACUUUUGUCCGGAAAGAAAUCCUUGGCUCUAAUACAGUCGGGGGAUGACGGUACCGGAAGAAUAAGCACCGGCUAACUACGUG
Molecule: ribosomal RNA, 486 nt
Filed under: uncultured bacterium
Lineage: Bacteria
Description: partial 16S ribosomal RNA
Rfam family: Bacterial small subunit ribosomal RNA
Source: RNAcentral